Molecule: ribosomal RNA, 402 nt
Filed under: uncultured bacterium
Lineage: Bacteria
Description: bacterial SSU rRNA
Rfam family: Bacterial small subunit ribosomal RNA
Source: RNAcentral
UGGGGAAUAUUGCACAAUGGGGGAAACCCUGAUGCAGCAACGCCGCGUGAGUGAUGACGGUCUUCGGAUUGUAAAGCUCUGUCUUUGGGGACGAUAAUGACGGUACCCAAGGAGGAAGCCACGGCUAACUACGUGCCAGCAGCCGCGGUAAUACGUAGGUGGCAAGCGUUGUCCGGAUUUACUGGGCGUAAAGGGAGCGUAGGCGGAUUUUUAAGUGGGAUGUGAAAUACUCGGGCUCAACCUGAGUGCUGCAUUCCAAACUGGGAAUCUAGAGUGCAGGAGGGGAGAGUGGAAUUCCUAGUGUAGCGGUGAAAUGCGUAGAGAUUAGGAAGAACACCAGUGGCGAAGGCGACUCUCUGGACUGUAACUGACGCUGAGGCUCGAAAGCGUGGGGAGCAAACA